RNAcentral lists this ribosomal RNA (1023 nucleotides) under Salmonella enterica subsp. enterica serovar Kentucky. RNAcentral's name for it is "partial 23S ribosomal RNA". It matches the Rfam family "Bacterial large subunit ribosomal RNA", at positions 627 to 1652 of the family's 2925-position model. Lineage: Bacteria; Pseudomonadati; Pseudomonadota; Gammaproteobacteria; Enterobacterales; Enterobacteriaceae. The record is from RNAcentral.
CUUAUAUUCUGUAGCAAGGUUAACCGUAUAGGGGAGCCGAAGGGAAACCGAGUCUUAACUGGGCGUUAAGUUGCAGGGUAUAGACCCGAAACCCGGUGAUCUAGCCAUGGGCAGGUUGAAGGUUGGGUAACACUAACUGGAGGACCGAACCGACUAAUGUUGAAAAAUUAGCGGAUGACUUGUGGCUGGGGGUGAAAGGCCAAUCAAACCGGGAGAUAGCUGGUUCUCCCCGAAAGCUAUUUAGGUAGCGCCUCGUGAACUCAUCUUCGGGGGUAGAGCACUGUUUCGGCUAGGGGGUCAUCCCGACUUACCAACCCGAUGCAAACUGCGAAUACCGAAGAAUGUUAUCACGGGAGACACACGGCGGGUGCUAACGUCCGUCGUGAAGAGGGAAACAACCCAGACCGCCAGCUAAGGUCCCAAAGUCACAGUUAAGUGGGAAACGAUGUGGGAAGGCUCAGACAGCCAGGAUGUUGGCUUAGAAGCAGCCAUCAUUUAAAGAAAGCGUAAUAGCUCACUGGUCGAGUCGGCCUGCGCGGAAGAUGUAACGGGGCUAAACUGUGCACCGAAGCUGCGGCAGCGACGCUUAUGCGUUGUUGGGUAGGGGAGCGUUCUGUAAGCCUGCGAAGGUGUCCUGUGAGGGAUGCUGGAGGUAUCAGAAGUGCGAAUGCUGACAUAAGUAACGAUAAUGCGGGUGAAAAGCCCGCUCGCCGGAAGACCAAGGGUUCCUGUCCAACGUUAAUCGGGGCAGGGUGAGUCGACCCCUAAGGCGAGGCCGAAAGGCGUAGUCGAUGGGAAACGGGUUAAUAUUCCCGUACUUGGUGUUACUGCGAAGGGGGGACGGAGAAGGCUAUGUUGGCCGGGCGACGGUUGUCCCGGUUUAAGCGUGUAGGCUGGUUUUCCAGGCAAAUCCGGAAAAUCAAGGCUGAGGCGUGAUGACGAGGCACUACGGUGCUGAAGCAACAAAUGCCCUGCUUCCAGGAAAAGCCUCUAAGCAUCAGGUAACAUCAAAUCGUACCCCAA